GACGAACGCUGGCGGCGUGCUUAACACAUGCAAGUCGAACGGAAAGGCCCUGCUUUUGUGGGGUGCUCGAGUGGCGAACGGGUGAGUAACACGUGAGUAACCUGCCCUUGACUUUGGGAUAACUUCAGGAAACUGGGGCUAAUACCGGAUAGGAGCUCCUGCUGCAUGGUGGGGGUUGGAAAGUUUCGGCGGUUGGGGAUGGACUCGCGGCUUAUCAGCUUGUUGGUGGGGUAGUGGCUUACCAAGGCUUUGACGGGUAGCCGGCCUGAGCGGGUGACCGGCCACAUUGGGACUGAGGUACGGCCCAGACUCCUACGGGAGGCAGCAGUGGGGAAUAUUGCACAAUGGGCGGAAGCCUGAUGCAGCAACGCCGCGUGCGGGAUGACGGCCUUCGGGUUGUAAACCGCUUUCGCCUGUGACGAAGCGUGAGUGACGGUAAUGGGUAAAGAAGCACCGGCUAACUACGUG
Molecule: ribosomal RNA, 468 nt
Filed under: uncultured bacterium
Lineage: Bacteria
Description: partial 16S ribosomal RNA
Rfam family: Bacterial small subunit ribosomal RNA
Source: RNAcentral